RNAcentral lists this long non-coding RNA (829 nucleotides) under Marmota monax (woodchuck). Lineage: Eukaryota; Metazoa; Chordata; Mammalia; Rodentia; Sciuridae. The record is from RNAcentral.
GUAAGUUCCUCAGGCGUCCAUAUUUAGGUCCCCGGAUCUGGAAGUUCCUCAGGUACAUGUCCAUCUUUGGGCCCUCAGAUCCGGAAGUGCUUCAGGCGUCCAUGUUUAGGCCCCUGGAUCCGGAAGUUCCUCGGGUGCACGUCCAUGUUUAGGCCACCGGAUCCAGAAGUUUCUCAGGCACACGUUCAUGUUUAAGCCCCAGGAUCUGGAAGUUCAUCGGUGCACAUCCAUGUUUAGGCUCCUGGGUCCGUAAGUUCCUCAGGUGCACGUCCAUGAUUAGGCUCUAGGAUCCGGAAGUUCCUCAGUCCUCCAUGUUUAGGCCAAAGCAUCUGGAAGUUCCUCAGGCACACGUCCAUGUUUAAGCCUCCAGGUUCCUCAGACAUCCAUAUUUAGGCUCUGGGAUCCAGAAGUGCCUCAGGAGUCCAUGUUUAGGCCCUAGGAUCAGGCAUGCCUCAGGCAUCCAUGUUUAGGCCCUCAGAAAUUCCUCAGACGCACAUCCAUGUUUAAGCCCCUGUAUCUGGAAGUUCCUUAGGUGUACAUUUAGGCCCCCGGAUCAAUACAGUGUUUUCUUUAUGAAUAAACUUCUUUAAGCCAAUGUGAAUUGAUUAAAAGAAAAAACAUUAAGGAAAUAAUAUUAAAUGUGGUUUGUGGAUUUUGGUAAGUAAUAAGGCUAGCUUAUGAAAGAGAGAUGGACAUUUACCAGGGACAGCAAGAGUAUGGUAUAGGUUCAAUCUAGUAAAGGGUAUGAGUAAAAAGUAAGUUCGAGAGCAAGAAACAUUUUAGUCUGGGGGUAGUAAGCUUCAUGACUGAUGAAUAAUAAGGGUAGGGG